Molecule: non-coding RNA, 83 nt
Organism: Podarcis lilfordi (Lilford's wall lizard)
Lineage: Eukaryota; Metazoa; Chordata; Lepidosauria; Squamata; Lacertidae
Source: the annotation of a GenBank genome assembly
GACUAUAGCUCAGUGGUGGAGCACUUGCUUUGCAUGCAGAAGGUUCCAGGUUUAAUCAUCAAUGGCAUCUCCAGGUAGGGUCA